This 205-nucleotide unclassified non-coding RNA is filed under the name soil metagenome. RNAcentral's name for it is "partial contains 5.8S ribosomal RNA, internal transcribed spacer 2, and large subunit ribosomal RNA". The record is from RNAcentral.
AACACUGUUAACCUGCGGUACCUGCGGAAGGAUCAUUACCGAGUUUACAACUCCCAAACCCCUGUGAACAUACCACUUGUUGCCUCGGCGGAUCAGCCCGCUCCCGGUAAAACGGGACGGCCCGCCAGAGGACCCCUAAACUCUGUUUCUAUAUGUAACUUCUGAGUAAAACCAUAAAUAAAUCAAAACUUUUAACAAUGGAUCU